UGAGCCACUGGUAGCACUACUUUAAGAAACCGAAAGUUGCCACCGAAAGUCGAAGGAAGAACUGAUUGCUGGCUUUUGCAACUCAGAAAGGCAAAAUCCAAGUAAAAGGUAAGAAAAUGUUGAUAUACAAGUGAUGGAAUGGAGAGUUUUCUCUACUUAAGGAAUGACACGACAAUAAAAUUGUGAAUGAGGAAGUAGUUGACGCCAUUUUAGGAAUAUUCAACUUAAGAACAAGGUGAAGGGUGUGUGAAGCCGUUUUAAAAAAUAACAAGAAUGGAUAUGGAAAGAAUCUGAAAAAUUAUUGACAGAGUAGAGACUGAGAUCACUCGGCAUUAAUUCGCCUUGCGAACAGAUUGGGACCACCCAAAAAGGAGUCCUAAUGAUUUGCUGCAUGCCUGUGUAAAAGAAGAAACCACCACCAUACAGACAAAUCACAGAGACAAGACAAUUUAACUGCAAAGAGAGGGAUAUCAGUACACCUUUAGAGAGGGGGACAAUUUAACUGUAUACAGAGGAUAUCAGUGUGGUAUAUUAGAUUCCUAAUGAUUUGCUGCAUGACUGUUUAAAGGAAGAUGUCUCCAUCAUGCAGACGUGUCAGAGACAGAACAAUUCAACUGUGAGCAGAGCGAUACUGGUGUUGUAUAAGGUACAUUUGUUUUAAGUACUUUGAAAUUCUUAUUAGAAUACUACAAAGUUCUUG
Molecule: long non-coding RNA, 700 nt
Organism: Saccostrea cuccullata (small rock oyster)
Lineage: Eukaryota; Metazoa; Mollusca; Bivalvia; Ostreida; Ostreidae
Exons: 6
Source: RefSeq, a predicted model, not a curated record